RNAcentral lists this ribosomal RNA (274 nucleotides) under uncultured bacterium. Its description in RNAcentral is "partial 16S ribosomal RNA". It matches the Rfam family "Bacterial small subunit ribosomal RNA", at positions 79 to 353 of the family's 1533-position model. The record is from RNAcentral.
CUAAGUUUGAUGGCGACCGGCGCACGGGUGAGUAACACGUAUCCAACCUGCCGAUGACUCGGGGAUAGCCUUUCGAAAGAAAGAUUAAUACCCGAUGGCAUAGUUCUCCGCAUGGUAGAACUAUUAAAGAAUUUCGGUCAUCGAUGGGGAUGCGUUCCAUUAGGUUGUUGGCGGGGUAACGGCCCACCAAGCCUUCGAUGGAUAGGGGUUCUGAGAGGAAGGUCCCCCACAUUGGAACUGAGACACGGUCCAAACUCCUACGGGAGGCAGCAUG